RNAcentral lists this ribosomal RNA (527 nucleotides) under uncultured bacterium. Its description in RNAcentral is "bacterial SSU rRNA". It matches the Rfam family "Bacterial small subunit ribosomal RNA", at positions 28 to 531 of the family's 1533-position model. The record is from RNAcentral.
GGCUAACGCUGGCGGCGUGUCUUAGCCAUGCAAGUCGAGCGGACUUAUGGGGUAACUUAUAAGUCAGCGGCGGACGGCGGAGUAACACGUAGCUAACCUACCCUCUGGACGGGGAUAACCUACCGAAAGGUGGGCUAAUACCCGAUGUAGUCAUCCUGUAUAGGGGUGAUGAAAGGUGGGCUUCUGUUUACAAGCUCAUGCUGGAGGAGGGGGCUGCGGCCUAUCAGGUAGUUGGUAGGGUAAUAGCCUACCAAGCCGAUGACGGGUAGCCGGCCUGAGAGGGUGACCGGCCCGAGGGGCACUGAGAUACGGGUCCCACUCCUACGGGAGGCAGCAGGCUAGAAAUUUGGGCAAUGGGGGAAACCCUGACCCAGUGACGCCGCGUGCAGGAAGGAGCCCUUCGGGGUGUAAACUGCUGUCGUGUAGGGAGAAGGGUACUAAGGUGAACAAUCUUAGUACUUGACGGUACUACAGGAGGAAGCCCAGGCUAAACCUCGUGCCAGCAGCCGACGGUAAAAUAGCGUACU